GACCGAAGGAAGCAUGGUAAUGUGUAUAGAAAUUGAGUUGGUCUCUAGGCUUGCCCUCUCUGAUGCCUUCCGACUUUGAUUUGGGGGUAUGGUUCCGCAUCAAAAUG
Small nucleolar RNA from Rhododendron vialii, 107 nucleotides. RefSeq annotates it as small nucleolar RNA snoR100. The record is from RefSeq and is a predicted model, not a curated record. The transcript has a single exon. NCBI's taxonomy places the organism in Eukaryota, Viridiplantae, Streptophyta, Magnoliopsida, Ericales, Ericaceae.